Molecule: non-coding RNA, 329 nt
Organism: Peromyscus maniculatus bairdii (prairie deer mouse)
Lineage: Eukaryota; Metazoa; Chordata; Mammalia; Rodentia; Cricetidae
Source: RefSeq, a predicted model, not a curated record
GGCAGAGGCCACUCGCUCAGCUCAAAGUAGCACAGUUUGUGUGUUCCUCCAUGUCCUCUCACAAACCCCUACUUAGUUCAUAUGAACAAGGAAUGAAAGAGAAGCCCUCCACAGUCCAGGGUUGGCCUCCUCCAGGGCGUAGUCCUCAGGAUCGGUGUGUGGAUCUACAGGCUUCACGGGGGAGCGGUGUAUCAGAGAUAAAUAGUUGCAUUUAAGGAAGGAAGUGGAAACAGCAAUUCCAGCAUCAGGAAGGAGGUAGAAGCAGAAGAAUAACAAGGUGGAGACCAACCAGGUCUAUAGAGAGAAAUUUUGUUAUAAAUAAAGGAAGA